GUAUAACUUUACAACUAGUACUUUUUCUCAUUCAAUCGAACAAAGAGCAAAACCUAAUUUUAUUGUUCUAUUAUGCCACGGGAGUGUAAAUUUGGAACGAAUCGAUGUCAACGUUCACUAGACCCAAAACCGGAACAACAUUAGACAACUCAGUUGUCCCAUAACAGUAUAACUUUGCAACGAGUACUUUUUCUCAUUCUAUCGAAUAAGGAGUAAAAGCUUUCUAUUAUGCCCUGAGAGUGUAAAUUGAACGAAUCGAUGUCAACGUUCACAAGAACCAAAAUUGGAACAAAGUUAGGCUACUCAGUUGAGCCCUAAUAGUAUAACUUUGCAACCAGUACAUUUUUUCAUUCAAUCGAACAAAGUGCAAGAACUAAUUAUAUGGUUCUAUUAUGCCCCGAGAGUUUAAAUUUGGAACGAAUCGAUAUAAACGUUCACAAGACCCAAAAUCGGAACAAAGUUAGACUACUCAGUUGAGCCCUAAAAGUAUAACUUUACAACUAGUACUUUUUCUCAUUCGAUCGAACAAAGAGCAAAACCUAAUUUUAUUGUUCUAUUAUGCUCCGGGAGUGUAAAUUUGGAACGAAUCGAUGUCAACGUUUACAAGAACCAAAACCGGAACAAUAUUAGACUACUCAGUUGAGCGCUAACAGUAUAACUUUGCAACUAGUACUUUUUCUCAUUCAAUCGAUCAAAGAGCAAAACCUAAUUAUAUUCUUCUAUUAUGCCCCGAGAGUGUAAAUUUGGAACGAAUCGAUGUAAACGUUCACAAGAACCAAAACCGGAACAAAGUUAUACUACUCAGUUGAGCCCAAACAGUAUAACUUUGCAACUAGUACUUUUUCUCCUUCAAUCGAACAAAGAGCAAAACCAAAUUAUAUUGUUCUAUUAUACCCCGAGAGUGUAAAUUUGGAACGAAUCGAUGUCAACGUUCACAAGAACCAAAACCGGAACAAGAUUAGACUACUCAGUUGCGCCACAACAGUAUAACUUUGCAACGAUUACUUUUUCUCAUUCUAUCGAACAAAGGGUAAAACCUUUCUAUUAUGCCCCGAAAGUGUAAAUUUGGAACGAAUCGAUGUGAACGUUCACAAGAACCAAAACCGGAACAAAUUAUACUACUCAUUGCGCCGUAACAGUAUAACUUUGCAACUAGUACUUUUUCUCAUUCAAUCGAACAAAGAGCAAAACCUAAUUAUAUUCUUCUAUUAUGCCCCGAGAGUGUAAAUUUGGAAUGAAUCGAUGUAAACGUUCACAAGAACCAAAACCGGAACAAAGCUAGACUACUCAGUUGAGCCCUAACUGUAUAACUUUGCAACGAGUACUUUUUAUCAUUCUAUUGAAUAAGUAGUAAAAGCUUUCUAUUAUGCCCCGAGAGUGUAAAUUUGGAACGAAUCGAUGUAAAUGAUCACAAGAACCAAAACCGGAACAAAGUUAUACUACUCAGUUGAGCCCUAACAGUAUAACUUUGCAACUAGUACUUUUUCUCAUUCAAUCGAACAAAGAGCAAAACCAAAUUAUAUUGUUCUAUUAUACCCCGAGAGUGUAAAUUUGGAACGAGUCGAUGUCAACGUUCACAAGAACCAAAACCGGAACAACAUUAGAUUACUCAGUUGCGCCAUAACAGUAUAACUUUGUAACGAGUUCUUUUUCUCAUUCUAUCGAACUAGGAGUAAAAACUUUCUAUUAUGCCCCGAGAGUGUAAAUUUGGAACGAAUCAAUGUAAACGAUCAAAAGAACCAAAAUCGGAACAAAAUUAGACUACUCAGUUGCGCCGUAACAAUAUAACUUUGCAACUAGUACUUUUUCUCAUUCAAUCAAACAAAGAGCAAAAC
RNAcentral lists this long non-coding RNA (1835 nucleotides) under Ananas comosus (pineapple). RNAcentral describes it as "long non-coding RNA (ACOM_LNC038843)". Lineage: Eukaryota; Viridiplantae; Streptophyta; Magnoliopsida; Poales; Bromeliaceae. The record is from RNAcentral.